AGAAGGACGCGACGUAUUUGUCGGCGGAUACGGCGGGUCUUCCAUCCUGGUGCUUCUCCUCCUCACCAACUCUCUCUCAACGUGCCUCUAUCUCCCGAGCUUUACAACCCCGUUCGCCGGAAGUAAGGGCCUUCGUCGAAGGAGAGUCAGCAGGGUUGCGAGGGGGAAGCCAACUAUACCCAAACAGUUUUGAAAGUCUUCGAUUAAUCGCGCCUUAAUUAAAAAAUAGUUCGGGAGCGUCGUGUAAAAAGUUUGCGCGUUCGAAUUCGGGAGUGCCGUGAAAGUGUCGCGCAUUCAUUUUUAUUAAUUUUAAUUUCGGAAAUACCGUGCAAAGGUAUUAUUACAUAGUAACGUUAAACGUUUAACGUUUUAAGUGACCCGUUUUAUCGAUACUGAAUAUUAGGAUAUCAGUUCGCGAAUGCAGAAUUCGGGAAUGCCGUGCGUUUGUUUUUAUUGUAUCGCGGACGAUUCGCGCGUGAUUGUCAUUAACAUUUUUCGUGAAUAUAUGCAGUGCGUGAAUGCAACGAAUUCCAGAGGACAAUCUGACAGUCUGAGAGGAGGACGAGGUCCUGGGGGACAUCGGGCAACGGCGGAGCAAGCUUAUGGUGAACUUAGUCUACGCAGUUCCAUCGAUCAGUGAGUGAUAAACUUUUAUUUUAUGGUAGAGAACGCCAAGUAUAUGUAGUAAUAGA
Nylanderia fulva is the source of this 692-nucleotide non-coding RNA. The record is from RefSeq and is a predicted model, not a curated record. Lineage: Eukaryota; Metazoa; Arthropoda; Insecta; Hymenoptera; Formicidae.